Molecule: small nuclear RNA, 98 nt
Filed under: Loxodonta africana (African savanna elephant)
Lineage: Eukaryota; Metazoa; Chordata; Mammalia; Proboscidea; Elephantidae
Source: RNAcentral
GUGCUCGCUUUGGCAACACAUAUACUAAAAUUGGAAUGAUACAGAGAAGAUUAGCAUGGCCAAAAGCAAAGAAGUUUCCUGAAUAAACUGAAUGCUUU